Molecule: long non-coding RNA, 354 nt
Filed under: Citrus sinensis (sweet orange)
Lineage: Eukaryota; Viridiplantae; Streptophyta; Magnoliopsida; Sapindales; Rutaceae
Description: long non-coding RNA (CSIN_LNC002366)
Source: RNAcentral
GUCCUCGCAACCUUCGCGGGCUUCUCCUUUGGCUUCGGCUUGGCGGUCACCUUCGUCUUGGUUGUUGCAGCUUUCGGUUUGGCAGCAGGCUUAGCCUUAGCCGGAGCCGCUUUAGUCUUGGCAGCCACCGCCUUAGUCUUGGCAGCCGGCUUGGCUUUGGGUUUAGCAGCUGGCUUAGCCUUGGCCGGAGCUUUAGCUGGUGCCUUAGCCUUAGCCUUAGGUGGAGCUUUGGCCUUGGAGGGCGCCGCCUUAGUUUUGGCCUUACCAGCAGCAACCGGCUUCUUCUUCUUAGCCGGAGAAGCAGGAACAGAUGCAGCCGGCUUAGAAACGGCAGCCCUAGCCGAUGGAAGCUUG